GAUCCGUUAGCUCAGUUGGUAGAGCACAACACUUUUAAUGUUGGGGUCUUGGGUUCGAACCCCAAACGGAUCACAA
This 76-nucleotide transfer RNA is filed under the name Prevotella sp. S7-1-8. Its description in RNAcentral is "tRNA-Lys". It matches the Rfam family "tRNA". From Rfam's summary of the family: Transfer RNA (tRNA) molecules are approximately 80 nucleotides in length. Their secondary structure includes four short double-helical elements and three loops (D, anti-codon, and T loops). Further hydrogen bonds mediate the characteristic L-shaped molecular structure. tRNAs have two regions of fundamental functional importance: the anti-codon, which is responsible for specific mRNA codon recognition, and the 3' end, to which the tRNAs corresponding amino acid is attached (by aminoacyl-tRNA synthetases). tRNAs cope with the degeneracy of the genetic code in two manners: having more than one tRNA (with a specific anti-codon) for a particular amino acid; and 'wobble' base-pairing, i.e. permitting non-standard base-pairing at the 3rd anti-codon position. The record is from RNAcentral. Lineage: Bacteria; Pseudomonadati; Bacteroidota; Bacteroidia; Bacteroidales; Prevotellaceae.